UACGUAGGGUGCAAGCGUUGUCCGGAAUUAUUGGGCGUAAAGAGCUCGUAGGCGGUUUGUCGCGUCUGCUGUGAAAACUCGGGGCUCAACCCCGGGCCUGCAGUGGGUACGGGCAGACUAGAGUGCGGUAGGGGAGACUGGAAUUCCUGGGUGUAGCGGUGAAAUGCGCAGAUAUCGGGAGGAACACCGGUGGCGAAGGCGGUUCUCUGGGCCUGUACUGACGCUGAGGAGCGAAAGCGUGGGGAGCGAACAGG
This 254-nucleotide ribosomal RNA is filed under the name uncultured bacterium. Its description in RNAcentral is "partial 16S ribosomal RNA". It matches the Rfam family "Bacterial small subunit ribosomal RNA", at positions 524 to 776 of the family's 1533-position model. The record is from RNAcentral.